CUAAGGGGGGGAAAAAAAACCAAAAGGGAUUCCCUCCGUAAGUGGGACUGAACCGGGAGUAGCCCCUCGGGUGGGCCUGUAGGGAAAGCCCCCUUGGGGGAUUUCCGUUAAGGGGAUCCCGGGUUUUGGGGAAUAACGGAACUUUAUGGGGGUUUUUUUUUUUAAAUUUUUUUUGGGGGGGGUUUAGACAAAUUUUUUUUUUUUUUGGAUUAUAAUGUUUGUCUAACCAAAGAAGGUGGUAGCCCUGUAAAGAAGCCAAUUGGAUUCGACUCCCUACGUACCCGUUCUCCUAAAGAGUAAGGUUGCUUGUAAUUACAACCCGAAGUAGGUGGUACAUUCCAUCUAAGGCUAAAUACCCUUACGAGACCGAUAGCGAAUCUGGCCC
Molecule: ribosomal RNA, 385 nt
Filed under: Nerocila phaiopleura
Lineage: Eukaryota; Metazoa; Arthropoda; Malacostraca; Isopoda; Cymothoidae
Description: partial large subunit ribosomal RNA
Rfam family: Eukaryotic large subunit ribosomal RNA
Source: RNAcentral